RNAcentral lists this long non-coding RNA (3501 nucleotides) under Sorghum bicolor (sorghum). Its description in RNAcentral is "long non-coding RNA (SBIC_LNC012759)". The record is from RNAcentral. Lineage: Eukaryota; Viridiplantae; Streptophyta; Magnoliopsida; Poales; Poaceae.
CGGUGGUGGCUAGAAAUUGAUGGAAACGGUGGGGAAAAACACACGAACUAGACUCUAACAAGACCUAACCAGCAACAAGACCUCAACCAAGACACAAACUCAACACUGCGGACUCUGAAACUGAAAUAUGCAAAGGCUAUGGCGCGGAAGGGUUGUAGGACAUGAAAACGAUAUGGCCCUGGACGUUUGGGACGAACACAAGAACACUCGAAACUAAGGGUAGAUGUGAACCUAACGGUAUACCUAAAGCUUUGAUUACCACUUGAUGAGAACAAGGGUGACCUCAUCUUCCAAAAGGUUUGUAACUCUCGAUUUGGUGCAGACGAGACACAAAUCGAUCCGGAUUCCGAACAACACGAUACAAAACCCUACAAUUUUUUUAUUUUUUCGAUAUUCUUCUUUUAGUUAGGAGUAACCACAGAAAAUUUGAGCUUAAACAAGUUAAAGACAUGGCCUGCGGAAUUUUCUGAAGAUUGUGAAAAAUGUGAAAAAAACUUCACGAGGUGAAAACUCAAAGUUCGGAGGAGAAUUUUGAGGUUCUAAAAUUUUCAAACCCCCCUACAACGGGGACAUGCAGAUCCAAAAUUUUUUUCUGAUCGAUUUUGAUAUAUGGAACAUUGAAAUCGGAGUUCGUAUGCGAAAGUUAUGGCUAUUUUACAAACGAACUCUGAAUUAUAGGACAAAACGGUCCGAAAGUGGAAAAAAUUUGCGGCGGUGGCUAGAAAUUGAUGGAAACAAAGGGGAAAAAGACACAAACUGGACUCUAACAAGACCUAUCCAGCAACAAGACCUCAACCAGGACAAACUCAACACUGCAGACUCUAAAACUGAAAUAUGCAGAGGCUAUGGCGCGGAAGGGUUGUAGGACUGGAAAACGAUAUGUUAUUGGACUUAUGGGACGAACACAGGAACACUCGAAACAAAGGGUAGAUGUGAACCUAAUGGUAUACCUAAUGCUUUGAUUACCACUUGAUGAGAACAAAGGUGGCCUGAUCUUCCGAAAGGUUCUGGUAACUCUCGAUUUGGUGGAGACGAGACACAAAUCGAUCCGGAUUCCGAAAAACACGAUCCGAAACCUUGCAAUUGUUUUUUAUUUUUUUGAUAUUUUUAUUUUAGUUAGGAGCACGAAAAGAGUAACCACAUAAAAUUUGAGUUUAAACAAGUGAAAAACAUGGCCUGUGGAAUUAUCUGAAGAUUGUGAAAAAUGUGAAAAAACUUCACGAGGUGAAAACUCAAACUUUGGAGGUGAAUUUGCAGGUUCUAAAAUUUUCAAACCCACCAAAAGCUAGGACACACAGAUCCAAAAAUUUUUUCUGAUCGAUUUUGAUAUAUGGAACGUUGAAAUAGGAGUUCGUAUGGGAAAGUUAUGGCUAUUUUACGAACGGACUCCGAAUUAGAGGACAAAACGGUCCAAAAGUGGGAAAAAAUUGCGGUGGUGGCUAGAAAUUGAUGGAAACGGUGGGGAAAAACACACGAACUAGACUCUAACUAGACCUAACCAGCAACAGGACCUCAACAAGAACACAAACUCAACACUGCGGACUCUGAAACUGAAAUAUGCAAAGGCUUUGGCGUGAAAGGGUUGUAGGACACGAAAAUGAUAUAGCACUGGACUUAUGGUACAAACACAAGAACACUCGAAACUAAGGGUGGAUGUGAACCUAACGGUAUACCUAAAACUUUGAUUACCACUUGAUGAGAACAAGAGUGACCUGAUCUUUCAAAAGGUUCUGGUAACUCUAGAUUUGGUGGAGACGAGAAACAAAUCGAUCCGGCUUCCGAACAACAUCAUAUGAAACCGUGCAAUUUUUUUAUUUUUUUGAUAUUUUUGUUUUAGUUAUGAGCACCAAAGGAGUAACCACAGAAAAUUUGAGCUUAAACAAGUGAAAGACAUGGCCUGUGGAAUUUUUUGAAGAUUGUGAAAAAUGUGAAAAAAACUUCACGAGGUGAAAACUCAAACUUUGGAGGUGAUGUUUGAGGUUCUAAAAUUUUCAAACCCAACAAUGGAGGGGACAGACAGAUCCAAAAAAAAAUUUUGGAUCGAUUUUGAUAUAUGGAACGUUGAAAUCGGAGUUCGUAUGCGAAAGUUAUGGCUAUUUUACGUACGGACUACGAAUUAGAGGACAAAACCGUCCGAAAGUGGGGAAAAUUUGCGGUGGUGGCUAGAAAUUGAUGGAAACGGUAGGGGAAAACACACGAACUGGACUGUAAUAAGACCUAACCAGCAACAAGACCUCGACCAGGACAAACUCAACAAUGCGGACUCUGAAACUAAAAUAUGCAGAGGCUAUGGCGUGGAAGGGUUGUAGGACAGGAAAACGAUAUGGUACUGGACUUAUGGGACGAACACAGGAACACUCGAAACUAAGGGUAGAUGUGAACCUAAUGGUAUACCUAAAGCUUUGAUUACCACUUGAUGAGAAAAAGGGUGGCCCGAUCUUCCGAAAGGUUCUGGUAACUCUCGAUUUGGUGGAGACGAGACACAAAUCGAUCCGGCUUCCGAACAACACGAUCUGAAACCCUACAGUUGUUUUUUAUUUUUUUGAUAUUUUUCUUUUAGUUAGGAGCACCGAAAGAGUAACCACAUAAAAUUUGAGUUCAGACAAGUGAAAGACACGGCCUGCGGAAUUUUCUGAAGAUUGUGAAAAAUGUGAAAAAAACAUCACGAGGUGAAAACGCAAACUUCGGAGGUGAAUUUGGAGGUCCUAAAAUUUUCAAACCUGCCAAAGGCAGGGACAUACAGAUCUGAAUUUUUUUCUGAUCGAUUUUGAUAUAUGGAACGUUGAAAUCGGAGUUCGUAUGGGAAAGUUAUGGCUAUUUUACGAACGGACUCCGAAUUAGAGGACAAAACGGUCCAAAAGUGGGAAAAAUUUGCGGUGGUGGCUAGAAAUUGAUGGAAACGGUGGGGAAAAACACACGAACUAGACUCUAACAAGACCUAACCAGCAACAAGACCUCAACCAAGACACAAACUCAACACCGCGGACUCUGAAACUGAAAUAUGCACAGGUUAUGGCGCGGAAGGGUUGUAGGACAUGAAAACGAUAUGGCCCUAGACGUUUGGGACGAACACAAGAACACUCGAAACUAAGGAUAGAUGUGAAUACCUAAAGCUUUGAUUACCACUUGAUGAGAACAAGGGUGACCUGAUCUUCCAAAAGGUUUUGGUAACUCUCGAUUUGGUGCAGACGAGACACAAAUCGAUCCGGCUUCCGAACAACACGAUACGAAACCCUACAACUUUUUUUUAUUUUUUUGAUAUUUUUCUUUUAGUUAGGAGCACCAAAGGAGUAACCAGAGGAAAUUUGAGCUUAAACAAGUGAAAGACAUGGCUUACGGAAUUUUUUGAAGAUUGUGAAAAAUGUGAAAAAAACUUCACGAGGUGAAAACUCAAAGUUCGGAGGAGAAUUUGGAGGUUCUAAAAUUUUCAAACCUGCCUACAAUGGGGACAUGUAGAUCCAAAAUUGAUCAAGGUCCAACUCGGCAUGGAUUUUAAGCUAU